RNAcentral lists this ribosomal RNA (253 nucleotides) under uncultured bacterium. RNAcentral describes it as "partial 16S ribosomal RNA". It matches the Rfam family "Bacterial small subunit ribosomal RNA", at positions 524 to 776 of the family's 1533-position model. The record is from RNAcentral.
UACGAGUACCCCAAGCGUUAUCCGGAAUCAUUGGGCGUAAAGGGUGUGUAGGUGGUUUUAUUAGUCUCCUGUUAAAACCUUGGGCUCAACCCAGGGACUGCAGGGGAAACGGUAAGACUCGAGGAUGCGAGAGGUGAAUGGAACUCAUGGAGUAGGGGUGAAAUCCGUUGAUAUCAUGGGGAACACCAAAAGCGAAGGCAAUUCACUGGCGUAUUCCUGACACUGAAACACGAAAGCGUGGGUAGCGAACGGG